Molecule: non-coding RNA, 99 nt
Organism: Agrilus planipennis (emerald ash borer)
Lineage: Eukaryota; Metazoa; Arthropoda; Insecta; Coleoptera; Buprestidae
Source: Rfam
AGGGGGAGAGGUUUUAGUCAGUAGGCGUCCUCCGGGACGAAUCUGACACUACCCGGUCUCUCGAGCGGCCGGGUGUCUUUUGAAGAUUUCCUCUCCUCC